CUGGAGAUGGAGGAAGUUUUUGGGAGCGAGGAAGAGAAGAGAUUCUACAGGAUUUGCUGGCCGAGUGUGAUAAUGGCAGCUGACACAGCUUUCCACCAGUUACUCCUGUAAGGAGCCUCUGGAGCAUUCUACUGCUUGAGGCUGUGUAUAUGGAAACAAAGUGGAAAUCUGGAUGUUUGAUGAAGAGACAUGCCAGUGUCCUUUCUGAAGUGAUGCCUUAGUAGGCUGAAGGACAGGACAACCAUGGACUACAUGAGUUAUUCUCCAUCUCAGUGCUGCCACUGGUUUUAUCUUGAAUCUUAUCUUUAUCUAAAUUUUAUCUUUAUCUGGAAUACCAGAGUCCAAGUUUUAACAUUCCAACUUUAAUGUGCAUCUCUCUUUAUAUGGUGGAAGGCAAUUCAGAGGCUGCUUUUUCUUGCUCCCCUUUGUCCAUAUGUCACUGCAUGCAAGCAAUAUCAUAUUGUCAUCCUGAGAGGAGCAGAUGGGCUGGUUCCUUCUGGACAACAAUAAUUCACUGUGGUUUUCCCUUUCCCCUAUGAAAUUUGUACUAAAAAAAUGUUGUCCUGGAGUAAUAAACCUGGAGCCAGAUGGACCUACCAUUUGAACUUCACAGCCUUACACCAAAAUAAAUUCUGGCAAAUAUUA
Non-coding RNA from Cyanistes caeruleus (blue tit), 645 nucleotides. The record is from RefSeq and is a predicted model, not a curated record. Lineage: Eukaryota; Metazoa; Chordata; Aves; Passeriformes; Paridae.